This 563-nucleotide ribosomal RNA is filed under the name uncultured bacterium. RNAcentral's name for it is "bacterial SSU rRNA". It matches the Rfam family "Bacterial small subunit ribosomal RNA", at positions 129 to 678 of the family's 1533-position model. The record is from RNAcentral.
CCUUGAAGUAGGGGAUAACACUUGGAAACAGGUGCUAAUACCGUAUAACAACCAAAACCACCUGGUUUUGGUUUAAAAGAUGGCUUCGGCUAUCACUUUAGGAUGGACCCGCGGCGUAUUAGCUUGUUGGUAAGGUAACGGCCUACCAAGGCAAUGAUACGUAGCCGACCUGAGAGGGUAAUCGGCCACAUUGGGACUGAGACACGGCCCAAACUCCUACGGGAGGCAGCAGUAGGGAAUCUUCCACAAUGGACGAAAGUCUGAUGGAGCAACGCCGCGUGAGUGAUGAAGGGUUUCGGCUCGUAUAACUCUGUUGUUGGAGAAGAACAGGUGUGAGAGUAACUGUUCACAUCUUGACGGUAUCCAACCAGAAAGCCACGGCUAACUACGUGCCAGCAGCCGCGGUAAUACGUAGGUGGCAAGCGUUGUCCGGAUUUAUUGGGCGUAAAGCGAGCGCAGGCGGUUUCUUAGGUCUGAUGUGAAAGCCUUCGGCUUAACCGGAGAAGUGCAUCGGAAACCAGGAGACUUGAGUGCAGAAGAGGACAGUGGAACUCCAUGUGUAG